UCAGACGAACGCUGGCAGCGUGGAUUAGGCGAUGCAAGUCGAACGGGAUCCGGAAGGUAGCAAUAUCGGCCGGUGAGAGUGGCGAAGGGCGAGGAACACGUGGGCAACCUGUCUUUGAGGUGGGGAAAACCGCUGGAAACGGCGGCUAAUACCGAAUGUAGCGCCCGCUCGCAUGAGCGGAGCGCCAAAGGGGGCGAAAGCUCCCCCUCUUCGAGGGGCCCGCGCACCAUCAGCUUGUUGGCGGGUAACGGCCCACCAAGGCUCACGGUUAGCUGGUCUGAGAGGAUGGCCAGCCGCACUGGGACUGAGAUACUGCCCAGACUCCUACGGGAGGCUGCAGUCGAGGAUCAUUUGCAAUGGGCGAAAGCCUGACAAUGCGACGCUGCGUGGAAGGAUGAAGGCCCUCGGGUUGUAAACUCCUGUCAUGGGGGAAAAGGAAACUCCACCUAAUACGUGGGGGAUUUGAUGGUACCCCAAGAGGAAGCGACGGCUAACUCUGUGCCAGCAGCAGC
RNAcentral lists this ribosomal RNA (512 nucleotides) under uncultured bacterium. Its description in RNAcentral is "bacterial SSU rRNA". It matches the Rfam family "Bacterial small subunit ribosomal RNA", at positions 28 to 518 of the family's 1533-position model. The record is from RNAcentral.